CGCGAGGGAAAGAUCAGCGUUGCUGCAGCCACCGCAGGACACCCACCAUGCGCGUACCAUACAGGCAGCAGCAGCCUCACUUCACCUUGGAUGACAUGACGAUUAUGAAAUAUUCAGUCAUCCCCCUUGGGUCUACCUGUUAGAAACUUGGACCUACUCAUGUGUUUGAGGUAAUGCUUGAAUAAAAUAGCUAUGCAAAUUUUUAUUUUUUUUCAGAUGGAUGAGGAGUGCUUAAAGAAAAGAUCUACUCUAUGGUUGUUUCUCUGCAGAUGAUUGUGCAGAAAAGAUGAAAAACGGGAUAAAAUUCUAUGUGAGAGAUGACCGCUAAAGGUACUUAAUUUUGGUAGAUAAUGUUGUGUGCAGAUUUCUUUCUACAAGAUGUGGGUGUAAAUUCUUAUUGUUGCAAUGAUGCAGUAGCAGUGCCGCAAGGUCGACAAUUUUUUACUUCCAUAUAUUCAGUCCUUGCAUGCAUUUUCUGAGUAUGUUCACGAUUAGUAUGCAGGUUAUUUGUUUCCCCAGUGUGGACCGCGACAUAGGGAAAUAUUAGCAUUGCUUCAACCAUGGCAAGACACCCACCAUGCGUGCACCUUACAAGUUGCAGCAGCUUCACUUGGUUGCCAAUGACAUAUCGAGUAUAAAAUAGAUAGCUAGCUGCAAGCAUUGCUGCUCCCCGCCCGACAGAGCAAACUUUUGCAACAUGCCCUUUUCUCAUCUGCCCCAUUCCAGCCAUCCCUCCAUCUACCUGUUGGACUUGCUCACCUUGUGUUUGGGGUAAUGCCUAAUGAAAAUAGAUAGCGAUGAUUAUUUCUUUUCACAUGAUUGUGGUGAUUUAAAACCUAAGAAAAUAUCCUUUGGUGCUGAAUUUAGGAUACAGUGCAUGACAUAUUAUUAAAUCCCAUACAACAGAGUCUUAGGUAUUUUAUUUUCUGACCAAAUUAUGAUUUUUACUGCAAAAUCAAAUUAUGAAUCAAACUGCUUUCACUUAUAUUCUGCCAAAUUUGUUCCAUCUAUAGGAAUGUACAUGGAGAUUAUCUAUAAGGGUUAUGUCCCGUGCAAGGAGAUUAUCUUAUAGGACAGGCAUAUCAGCCCCCAUUCAGACAUAGCAGAUAUUCAACAGAAGAAGUUCCUCCACUGCUACUGGCCAAACUCUAAGCAAAAAGACCUUCCACUUUCCUUGCUAAUGGUGAGCAACUCAAAGAUGGCUACAAGGUUACACUCAAUAUUUACUCUCUGAAUAACAUAUUAUUUAUUUGACCAAUACAUGUAUAAAUGCCUUGAGAGAACAUGUAUAUAUAGCUGCAUAUAUGUUAUAUCUGAACAAUGGCAGAUUUGACCAUUAAUUACAUGUAUAUACUUGCUAGGAGAGAACGUGUAUAGCUUUCAGUUAAGCUUUUCGAUCAUUAAGCUGUUGCUUUCUCAUCUUAUUUCUAGGUAGAAACAUUAUUGGUGUUCUUUAGCUUAAUUUUGAAACAUGAACACCAUCAUGUCUUCAUCGCCGAAAGUGACGUUCUUUCCCAUUAAUCUGUGCACUCGAAAACUAUUCAAAUAUAUAUUUCCACUUGGUAGUUUUCGUAUGUCCAAUGGUUUGACGGGUGUGCAUUUUCAGGAGAGUUAGCAAAUCUUUUUCCAGUCAUCUGGUCCAUGUAGAUAACAAGUGCUAUUUGAAAUGAAAAUGCAGUUGGCUGCCAAUUUUAUCUUGUGUAUAUGACUGAAUUAUUUUGUCCUGUUAGUUUUAUGUCUAUAUAUGCAGUCUGGUGAAUAUAUGGAUAUUUUAUUAAGUGGAGAAGUUUGGUACUCUGAGUAAGCACUCGAUUCCUUGUUAGGUCCUGCUAGAUUGAUCUUUAAGGGAUCAUUUUAGUUCGUUCUUCGACCAAACACAUUACAAACGGGCAGGAAAUGAUUCUUUUCCGAUCCAUCUCGAUCUCCUUCCGAAUCAAUUCCUGAU
RNAcentral lists this long non-coding RNA (1945 nucleotides) under Triticum aestivum (bread wheat). RNAcentral's name for it is "long non-coding RNA (TAES_LNC026886)". The record is from RNAcentral. Lineage: Eukaryota; Viridiplantae; Streptophyta; Magnoliopsida; Poales; Poaceae.